AGCUUUGCACAGUGGCAGUAUCAUAGCCAAUGAGGUUUAUCCAAGAUGUGAUUAUUGCCAAUUGAAAAAUUAAAUAUUUAUUUAUUAAUCUAUUUUUAAAAACCGUAAUAAAACC
Small nuclear RNA from Camelus dromedarius (Arabian camel), 115 nucleotides. Its record names the gene U4. It matches the Rfam family "U4 spliceosomal RNA". Rfam says of the family: U4 small nuclear RNA (U4 snRNA) is a component of the major U2-dependent spliceosome. The structure of U4 snRNA from yeast and human has been reported. Lineage: Eukaryota; Metazoa; Chordata; Mammalia; Artiodactyla; Camelidae. The record is from Ensembl.